RNAcentral lists this transfer RNA (85 nucleotides) under Lentisphaeria bacterium. RNAcentral's name for it is "tRNA-Tyr". It matches the Rfam family "tRNA". From Rfam's summary of the family: Transfer RNA (tRNA) molecules are approximately 80 nucleotides in length. Their secondary structure includes four short double-helical elements and three loops (D, anti-codon, and T loops). Further hydrogen bonds mediate the characteristic L-shaped molecular structure. tRNAs have two regions of fundamental functional importance: the anti-codon, which is responsible for specific mRNA codon recognition, and the 3' end, to which the tRNAs corresponding amino acid is attached (by aminoacyl-tRNA synthetases). tRNAs cope with the degeneracy of the genetic code in two manners: having more than one tRNA (with a specific anti-codon) for a particular amino acid; and 'wobble' base-pairing, i.e. permitting non-standard base-pairing at the 3rd anti-codon position. Lineage: Bacteria; Pseudomonadati; Lentisphaerota; Lentisphaeria. The record is from RNAcentral.
GGCUGGAUUCCCGAGCGGCCAAAGGGGGCAGACUGUAAAUCUGCUAGCGAUGCUUUCGGUGGUUCGAAUCCACCUCCAGCCACCA